This 83-nucleotide non-coding RNA is filed under the name Rhizobium etli CFN 42. Its description in RNAcentral is "chrB RNA". It matches the Rfam family "chrB-a RNA". Lineage: Bacteria; Pseudomonadati; Pseudomonadota; Alphaproteobacteria; Hyphomicrobiales; Rhizobiaceae. The record is from RNAcentral.
GUUCUGGGGUUGCGAUCACCCCACGAGGCGACAUGCUGAAGAAUCGCGUCCGGUAAAGCCGAUCAACGGAGGGACGCGUCAUG